AUUGAACGCUAGCGGGAUGCUUUACACAUGCAAGUCGAACGGCAGCGCGGACUUCGGUCUGGCGGCGAGUGGCGAACGGGUGAGUAAUGUAUCGGAACGUGCCCAGUAGCGGGGGAUAACUACGCGAAAGCGUAGCUAAUACCGCAUACGCCCUACGGGGGAAAGCAGGGGAUCGUAAGACCUUGCACUAUUGGAGCGGCCGAUAUCGGAUUAGCUAGUUGGUGAGGUAACGGCUCACCAAGGCGACGAUCCGUAGCUGGUUUGAGAGGACGACCAGCCACACUGGGACUGAGACACGGCCCAGACUCCUACGGGAGGCAGCAGUAGGGAAUUUUGGACAAUGGGGGCAACCCUGAUCCAGCCAUCCCGCGUGUGCGAUGAAGGCCUUCGGGUUGUAAAGCACUUUUGGCAGGAAAGAAACGUCGCGGGCUAAUACCCCGUGGAACUGACGGUACCUGCAGAAUAAGCACCGGCUAACUACGUG
Molecule: ribosomal RNA, 484 nt
Filed under: uncultured bacterium
Lineage: Bacteria
Description: partial 16S ribosomal RNA
Rfam family: Bacterial small subunit ribosomal RNA
Source: RNAcentral